AAAAACAGAAAAUUUACUUAUAUUUACCAGACACUCUAUGGCUGUUCCGUAUGUUAAGCUAAGGAGAAUUAUUCAAAUUCCUCUUAAUGGUGAUAAGCAUAAUUACAUCAUCGACACAUGAAUGUAUGGAUGAAGCCUUUUACAAGGGAAAGCUGAGACUUAAGCGGUAAGAAGAGAAUAUAUGGGAAUUUCUGGCAGGGAGAGGAAAAAAGAGAAAGAUUGCAAGAGGUAGAGGGUGCAAGUUAAAAGGACAGAUCUUCAGAAUCAUACAAAGAAAGUAUGUAUUGCCAAAUAGCGGUAAGAGUCGAACUGGAUAACUCAAUUCCAAAUCUUAAAAGUCAAGAAAUAAGACAACGUCCCGAAAAAAAAAAAUGAGUCUCAAAAUCCGAAUAAUCUUCCGAAGCAUAACUUAUCCGAUACCAACUGUAACUUUAACUGUAAUAUCGAAAUCAGUGUAACAAGAUGAAGUAGUUUUCCCACACGUCGGGCAAAUUUGUAAAUAAUGAGAGAAAUUUGUUCGCGUCUCAUUAAGUUCGAGCCGAGGCUUCGAACGAAGUUUGGAGCGCAGUCCUUGGCGCGACGGCAUAAAAUCGCCUCUGUAUCCCUAUCAAGGUUGAAAUAUCGAUUUCCGUCUUCGCUCGCAAAAUGCGAAUCGCGCGCACAAAAUUUCACACGCACAUGGGAGAAGAAACGGAAGUUCGAGUCUCUCUUUCUCUCUCGCCCUUAUAACAACUACGAAUAAACCCGCCCGCGGAAUCUCCAACACGGGCCAUAAUCUCCGAGUAUUUACAUACUUAGCGCAUUUUUCCGAGCGCACGAUCUCGCGAAACGCGGCGUAUCGCCGACGAUAAGCCGCGCGGCGCAAAGUGCGGCGCCGACGAGAACGAGCGAGCAAGCGAGCGCACGCACGAGAUAAAUUCGCCGGAGUGUGUUGCGCGACAUGUACCUGCCGCCGCGAGAUGCACUUGAAAGGGAGAGGGGAGAGGGGUGUGAGAGUGAGUGAGUGAGUGAGUGAGAGAAAGAGAGAACAUAAAAAGCAUGAGAGCCGGACGGGCAAACUCGAAGACUCGCUGCUUCACGACCAGCGCAAAUUCGCCCGGCCGCCCGACAGACUAACAGAGAGAGAGAGAGAGAGAGAGACGAACAGGCGGCACGAGCGUAAAAGAUCGCUGCUCGGCUAACGUGCGUUGCGCGCGAUGUAACGCGUAAAUAGAUAAGACCGCGGGAGGGAAGGAGAGCCGAGGGGAUGGGAGGAAGGCGGAAUCCGCUCCUCACCUGCUGUUGCUGAUGUCGGCCCGCUGCUGUUACCGCUGCUGUUGUCUGCUGUCGCCGCACGGCACCGAUCGAGGCGGCCUACGUCCGCGAGAUGUACGACGCAACACGGCGACACGAUCACCGUCGCCGCUCCUCCACCCCUUCUCCGAUCCGAUGACGCUUCCUUGCGCCUCUUCUCACCGUCACCGUCGUCGUCGGUACCAACAACGGCCUUCGUGGGGAUCGCUGACGCGCGCUCUCCUCGCCGCCGACUAAACAUGCAGUAAUCGCACCAGCGCUCCUCGCAUCAAUAAUAUCGGCCCUGUGUCUCUCUCUCUCACGGCUGGCUGGCUGGUCCGCCUCUCUCGUCCUCCCCCAAUCCGCUUUCUCGCCCGCUACUGAGCCGACGGACGGACGACGAGUAGCCCGGGCGACGACGUAGUGACGCGGCGCGGGCGAGGAAUUCCGGGAAUUUGAUACCGUAAAUGGCGCGCGUGGGGGGGGGCCGACCGGAUGAUGGUGGACAAUCACGUGAGCGUGGCGCGCAUGCGCAGUGCGCCGCGUGGGAUCGCGCCCGCUGUGAUUUAUCGAUAAACCGCGCACCACCGGCGCUCCACUCGCCGCCGCCAUCUUCCGCGCCUUUCGCGCGAAAAUUGAAAACGCUCGUGCGCGCGCGCACUGAGUCGCGUCCGCGCACUCUGAUCGUCGCCGUCUCAAAACGCACGGAAAACAAAUCCAGCCGGUUAUCGAAAAUGAACACAACGCUUUCCCCUUUCGGUGAGU
Long non-coding RNA from Dinoponera quadriceps, 2037 nucleotides. RefSeq lists it as uncharacterized. NCBI's taxonomy places the organism in Eukaryota, Metazoa, Arthropoda, Insecta, Hymenoptera, Formicidae. The transcript is spliced from 2 exons. The record is from RefSeq and is a predicted model, not a curated record.